Molecule: ribosomal RNA, 951 nt
Filed under: uncultured bacterium
Lineage: Bacteria
Description: partial 16S ribosomal RNA
Source: RNAcentral
ACUCAAGCUAUGCAUCCAACGCGUUGGGAGCUCUCCCAUAUGGUCGACCUGCAGGCGGCCGCACUAGUGAUUACGGUUACCUUGUUACGACUUCACCCCAGUCAUGAAUCACAAAGUGGUAAGCGCCCUCCCGAAGGUUAAGCUACCUACUUCUUUUGCAACCCACUCCCAUGGUGUGACGGGCGGUGUGUACAAGGCCCGGGAACGUAUUCACCGUAGCAUUCUGAUCUACGAUUACUAGCGAUUCCGACUUCAUGGAGUCGAGUUGCAGACUCCAAUCCGGACUACGACGUACUUUAUGAGGUCCGCUUGCUCUCGCGAGUUCGCUUCUCUUUGUAUACGCCAUUGUAGCACGUGUGUAGCCCUACUCGUAAGGGCCAUGAUGACUCGACGUCAUCCCCACCUUCCUCCGGUUUAUCACCGGCAGUCUCCUUUGAGUUCCCACCAUUACGUGCUGGCAACAAAGGAUAAGGGUUGCGCUCGUUGCGGGACUUAACCCAACAUUUCACAACACGAGCUGACGACAGCCAUGCAGCACCUGUCUCAGAGUUCCCGAAGGCACUAAGCUAUCUCUAGCGAAUUCUCUGGAUGUCAAGAGUAGGUAAGGUUCUUCGCGUUGCAUCGAAUUAAACCACAUGCUCCACCGCUUGUGCGGGCCCCCGUCAAUUCAUUUGAGUUUUAACCUUGCGGCCGUACUCCCCAGGCGGUCGACUUAACGCGUUAGCUCCGGAAGCCACGCCUCAAGGGCACAACCUCCAAGUCGACAUCGUUUACAGCGUGGACUACCAGGGUAUCUAAUCCUGUUUGCUCCCCACGCUUUCGUACCUGAGCGUCAGUCUUUGUCCAGGGGGCCGCCUUCGCCACCGGUAUUCCUCCAGAUCUCUACGCAUUUCACCGCUACACCUGGAAUUCUACCCCCCUCUACAGACUCUAGCUUGCCAGUUUCAAAUG